CUAAAAUAUGCUUCUAUCAGACUUCUGCCUCCCAUUACCAAACUGUUCUCAAGAGGUCACCAGUCACUUAUACUAACUCCACCGUCAAGUCUUGGUUCUCAAAUCAUCUAUCAGCAGUUCUUGGAUACUGUGUCCUUGAGAUACCUUCUUCAGUUGGUUUCUGAACCAGUAGAGCUUUAGUGAUAAUGGAUAUUCUUUGUGCUAUUCAAAUCAGUAGCUGCUAGCUAGAUGAAGGAAGCUAAUAUGACCGAGGAACUGAAUUUUAAACUUUAUUUAAAUAGUCAUACGUGGCAAGUAUUAAAUGGUUCAGUUCUAGCCGCUUUUGAAUUCUUCCUUAUACCUGCUUCUGACUUCUUGGCUGCUUCCUUCUAAACGUUGGUGUAUCCCAGUUCUCUUUUUUAUACUUACUCCUUUGGUCAUUUUAUUUAACCUAUCUUUCCCUAACCUUCUCUAGGUUGACUUAUACUUCCUCUUUGACAAAUAUUUGGAUGGAAAAUGUGUUUUAUUUGGGUGUGAAGGGGUUGCUUUUUAUGUGAAAUUGUAUUCUUUCCCCUGAAUUUACAUGACAGAGUAUUAAACUGUUAAUGUGGCUGAUCUGUGCUUAUUAAGUUCAAAGCAUGAGUUUUUAAGUUAAAAGUUAUUAGCCAGGUGUGGUGUCACAGGUGUUUUCCUGUGUAAUCCCAGGGACUUGGAAGGCUGAAUCAGGAGUAUUACAAGUUGGAGGCCAG
RNAcentral lists this long non-coding RNA (728 nucleotides) under Marmota monax (woodchuck). The record is from RNAcentral. Lineage: Eukaryota; Metazoa; Chordata; Mammalia; Rodentia; Sciuridae.